UAUUAGGUUGGUGCAAAAGUAAUUGCAGUUUUUACCAUUACUUUUAGUGACAAAACCGCAAUUACUUUUAUACCAACCUAAUAAUUUA
Molecule: microRNA precursor, 88 nt
Filed under: Aotus nancymaae (Ma's night monkey)
Lineage: Eukaryota; Metazoa; Chordata; Mammalia; Primates; Aotidae
Description: miRNA (ENSANAG00000008518.1)
Source: RNAcentral